Molecule: ribosomal RNA, 255 nt
Filed under: uncultured bacterium
Lineage: Bacteria
Description: partial 16S ribosomal RNA
Rfam family: Bacterial small subunit ribosomal RNA
Source: RNAcentral
UACGGGGGGAGCAAGCGUUGUUCGGAUUUACUGGGCGUAAAGGGCGCGUAGGCGGUCGUGACAAGUCACUUGUGAAAUCUCCGGGCUUAACUCGGAAAGGUCAAGUGAUACUGUCGGACUAGAGUGCAGAAGGGGCAACUGGAAUUCUCGGUGUAGCGGUGAAAUGCGUAGAUAUCGAGAGGAACACCUGCGGCGAAGGCGGGUUGCUGGGCUGACACGUGACGUGAGGCGCGAAAGCCAGGGGAGCGAACGGGG